UCUAAUCUUGAUCCACAACCAAGAAUCUGAGAGACGCGACAAAUAGUAAACAUACCUGGAUUAUGCCCAAAAGGUCCUCUAGGAGCUCCAGGGUUAGAUCAAUCUGUAUAAGAAUGAACAAUUUUAUAAAGAAAUUGAGAACACUAUAUAGAUUUGAUAAGAUUAAACAUGGGGAACCAUAGAGAUGCCCCACCAAACAGUUGCAUUGAGUUUUAUACGACAAAGAUAUGCUCCAAAGCCAACCUUUGCAGUCACUUGGGUCAUCCAAGGCGCUAGCACACCAGAGCACAGGUCAAUCAGAAGACAUGCAGCCUUAACCUGCAGAGUAAAUGCAUCUUAAGCAUUUUUUUUUUUUCAUUUUUUUCAUCGAACAGCUCUCAGGCAGUUUCUUUCUGUGACAAAGAUUGAACUGGAACCCAAAACCUUGUAUUGAUUGAAAAUACCAAAUCUUAUUAUUUAGAUAUUUUAACAUUAUCAUUCUCUGCCAAAGGGUGUGCUAGUGUGUGAGUAAGAAUGUGUGUGAGAGAGGGAGAGAGAGAUUCAUAAAGAGAUUAAUAGUCUUAUGCUGUUGUUGAUGAAAAAUAUAAAAAGGCACUUCAAUGAAAUGCACUGGAGAUAACUAACAUGAGAUGGUGAAAAUGAUGAUAAAUAACCAGCACAAGCAUGAAGCAGGGAAUGGUACAAUGGAGAAGAUGACGUUGCAACAAUCUGCAAUAGGAAGCAUUAUUGUUAGCAUAACAUAACAGAAAAAGAUUUAAAAUCCAAUAAGGAUCAUGUCAACUAAAUGAACUUGGACACAAAUAAAACCAAUACAACUGAGAAGCAGCUUGCUGCACAAAUGCUUGUUUCCACUGGGAAAGAUUAUCAUCAAUAUGAUCAGAAGGGCUACUCACAUAUGGACGAAGAGCUACCAUACACGAGAGGAAGUGGGAAUGUCAGAUUUCACAAAGCAUUAUUUGAAAGAAGAGACCAGCUACCUUAAAAGUUUUAAUAAGCUUUGCCAUGAAUGUUAAAAUGACUGAUAAUACUUGCUAGAAUGUCGACAAUGUUAGAUAGGAAAUUAAGUAGACUUAGUUUAGAGCAUAUAUAUUAAUCAUAUCAUAAUUAAUCUAUUCACUCACUGACAUGUAACAAGUCAAAAGCAUAUUCAUAUUACAAGGUCCCAUUUGUUUCAAUUAUCAUUUUAUUUCUAGUUAAUUCCUACUCUUAAUCUUCAUAUUACUUUCUUUCAUCAUAUUGAAAAGAAGUGUUGAUAUUAUUUCUUUUUACCUAUUGUUUUACCUAUCUUCUGUUUUUUGACUUUUUCCAUCCUACUUGAAUUUCUCAACAAUGUGACCCCAAAUCCUACAAAGUUUAAUGUGGGAUCCCCGUAGAUUAGAAAAAAAAGGAAAAUUGCGAGGAAAGAGUUGGACUUGCUACAGACAUACCAGAGAAGACUCUUGACUACCAGCUAUAGGGGCCAUAUAGGCCACAGACACAUUAAAGAAAUCAUGUCACAGUUCUACAUGGCAGAAUUAACAUAUAGAUUAAGAAUAAGAAUUAGCUAAAGAUAGAAUGAGAAAUGAACCAAAUGAGCCUCGAUCUCCUUUCCACAUCCAUAUUUUAAUUUCCUUCCCAGAAUCUCAACAUGAAAAUAGACUUCUCUGGAAAUGAUAUAACAUAAACAUGGAUUGUAUUAAACAUUUCACCUGGCAGCAAAGCUUGUACAAGCGGUAAUGCAGACCAGAAGUCUGAAGUUCCCUCUGCCAAGUUACUGCAGAACUGAGGCUGUAAGCAUAUAGAAGCUAAUUAUAAAUUCAUGACACAGAAGAUAGGAAGCAGAAACAAGUCCUAAAGGAAUAAGGCAAAUGCUUCAAAAGAUGUUUUAUUCAUUAAUAGUAAAUGACCUGUGACGCACAAGCAUAGAGAACAUGUAAAAUCCCUUCUUCUGCUGCCCCCACAUCUAAGAUGUGAAGAACCCUAUAAUCCCAUUGAUCAUUGACCAACUGGAAUUCUUCUCCGAACAAGGUUGAGUAAUCAACCAUAUGAGGAGGAUUAAACAAUUCAGAUCUUGAUGUCUCUUCCAAAACUUGGGUGGAAGAAGUUGGCUCUUCUUGUACCGUUACAGGGUCUAUAAGCUUCUGCAGGAUUCUAG
This 2134-nucleotide long non-coding RNA is filed under the name Carica papaya (papaya). Its description in RNAcentral is "long non-coding RNA (CPAP_LNC007665)". Lineage: Eukaryota; Viridiplantae; Streptophyta; Magnoliopsida; Brassicales; Caricaceae. The record is from RNAcentral.